Mastomys coucha (southern multimammate mouse) is the source of this 604-nucleotide long non-coding RNA. RefSeq lists it as uncharacterized. The transcript has 4 exons. NCBI's taxonomy places the organism in Eukaryota, Metazoa, Chordata, Mammalia, Rodentia, Muridae. The record is from RefSeq and is a predicted model, not a curated record.
CCGAACCAGGCGAGAGGGAGAGAGCCAGGUCCAGCCAAGAGGCGAGCCUCUCUGGGCUGAGCGGGAUGCACUCCCACGGAACAGACACCAGUACAACCUACACCCAUUUUACCAAUAAGAAAACCGACAUGCAUAGUUUCAAUCGUUACCAUCAUACUGCUAGUAAGUAUCAGAACUGACAUUCAAGACCCAGAUCCACCCACACCACAAGCACAGGAUUAUCUCUGACGGAAUGCAGCUGACCACCAUUCAGGAGACUCAAGAAAGCUGCAAGAGAACAAGAGGGGCAGCCGGCCAUUCCAGCCCAAAGCCACGUUCCACUAGAAGCCCACAAGGCAUGGUUAUGGAAGCCCCUGGCAUUGUAACAACACUGCCCACAUUUUGUUAUGUGGGUGGUCAGAGAAGUGUAAGGGUGAAAGGAUCACAUGGGAACUAGCCACUAUAAGUGCAGGGUCGGUACAAAUUCAGAGAAAACGAAGUUCACUGUAGAAGAAAGCGCAGAAGUACAGUUAAGUGGUGUGGCUAAGAGGAGACAGAAAUUGAGGCAGAACAUAAAAGAUUUCCAAGGGCUGGCAAGAUGGUUCAGUGGGUAAGAGCACUGACU